CAGGGGUGGUGUAGCACUCUGCCUCAACGCCCAGGGCCGCAGAAAUGGCGAGGCCCUCAUCCGCUUUGUGGACAGCGAGCAGCGGGACCUAGCGCUGCAGAGACACAAGCACCACAUGGGCGUCCGCUAUAUUGAGGUGGGGCUUUGGGCUGGGAGCGGAGCAGGGCCAAUCUGAGUCAGGCCUGAGACCCAUGGGCUGCUGCUCUCUGUACCCACAGGUGUAUAAAGCGACAGGGGAGGAGUUUGUAAAGAUUGCAGGGGGCACAUCACUAGAGGUGGCUCGUUUCUUGUCACGGGAAGACCAAGUGAUCCUGCGGCUGCGGGGACUGCCCUUCUCGGCUGGGCCAACGGACGUGCUAGGCUUCCUGGGGCCAGAGUGCCCAGUGACUGGGGGUGCC
This 398-nucleotide small RNA is filed under the name Pongo abelii (Sumatran orangutan). Its description in RNAcentral is "retained intron". Lineage: Eukaryota; Metazoa; Chordata; Mammalia; Primates; Hominidae. The record is from RNAcentral.